RNAcentral lists this transfer RNA (61 nucleotides) under Amblyomma hebraeum (bont tick). RNAcentral describes it as "tRNA-Glu". The record is from RNAcentral. Lineage: Eukaryota; Metazoa; Arthropoda; Arachnida; Ixodida; Ixodidae.
UUUUAAAUAGUGUAACAAACACUUAACAUUUUCAUUGUUAAAAUUCCUUAGGAUUUAACUC